GUUAGCUUGGCUAAAUUGUAUUAAAUUUUUCAAAGAAUCAUUCUUUUGGUUUUAUUUUCUCUAAUCCUGUUUUCAAUUUAUUGAUCCCAGUUUUGUUUUAAUACUUAUUAUUACUUUUCUUUUGCUUGCUUUAUGUAUGCAUUGCUCAUCUUAUACACUGCUAAGACAGAGACUUAGAUUAUUGACUUUAGAUCUUCCUUCUUUUCUAAUACAUAUAUUCAAUGUUCUAAUUUCAUUCCAAGGACUGUUCUUGCUGUAUCCCACACAUUUUGAUAAGUUGUAUUUCCAUUUACAUUUAAUUCAAAAUAUUUUCAUUUCUCUUGAGACUUCUUCUUUUACCCAUGUGUUAUUUAGAAGUAUGUUGUUUAUAUCCAAAAAAUGAAUUUAAAAGAAUAAAAAUUAUCAAAAUUUACUUAAAAAAACAAUUACAUGGACAAAAUUAAGCAAAAGACUACACAAAGAAUGCCAGGUGCAUAUGAUUUUUUUCAGUGAAAUCUCACAAAACUUCAAGAAACUAACAAAUUAACAACAAAUUUUAAUCUUCUAGAUCAUACAUAUAGAAGAAAAAAAUUUCAUGUUGCAUUUAUGGGACAAUUUUAACAUUAAUACCCAAGCUAUAAAAAUAUUAGAUUAAAAAUUAAUCAAAUGGAAAAAUAUUUUUAAACAAAAUAUUAGUUAAUAUGAUAGUAGCAUAUUAGAAUGUAAAAUACCACCAUUAAGUUUGUUGCAUGCUAAGGCUCUUCAGUAUUAGAAUAUCUGGUACUGAAGUUCAUCUUCUUAACGGAAAAAACAGAUAAAAUAAUUUUGCCAGCUCCAUGAGUUUCCAAAAAGAGAUUUGAAAAACUCCCACAUAUAUUUCUGACAAAAUUCUUAAUUAAAAAAAAAUAGCCCCUUAAUGCAAUCAAAAGCAUAUGUGUAUCUCAAAAAAAAGCCAGCAUCAUACUCAAUAGCAAAACUCAAGGCAGUUCUCAAAGUCUGGCCCCUGGGCCAGAAGCAUAAGAAGCACCUGGGAACUUGUUAGAAAUAUAAAUGCUUGUCUUCCUCCCCACUAUGUACUGAGUCAAGAAUCUGGAUGUGGGGUCCAGUUUUCACAAGACUUCCAUAGAAUUUUUUCAUGCAAAAGUUUGAGAAUCAUUUUUAUGAGCAAGCUUUUAGAGCUACUUCUAUUGAAUAUUAUAAUGGGAAUAUUUUCAAUUCAACUGGAGAAGAAUAUAAAAUAUGAGUGUAAAAAUUGGAAAAUAAGAACAUUUUUUUUCUCUCUUGAGCUGUGCCCGCAGCAUGCUGAAGUUCCCAGGCUAGGGAUCGAACCCACUCCAAAGCAGCAACCCAAGCAAUAGCAGUGACAAUGCCAGAUCCUUAACCCACUGUCUUUUCUAUAUAGAAACUAAAAGUAAUGAUGUGCCAUUCAGUUUUGUUGUUCUACUAAAAAUAAAAAACUAUACUUACAUAAGAUCUGAGUAAAAAUGUCAGCAACAUAUUUCUUGAAAGAUAAGAGAAGCUAACACUAAGGGUUGUAUGAGAAUAAUUGGAAACAUUUGGAAAAAUGAUGAGUAAUGAAAGGAGAUUAACUCAAUUAUGUAAUAUAAAAAGUUACAGCAAUUCCAACACUGUGUUACUGGCACAAGAAUAGACAGAUCUCUUGAACAGAAUAGAGAGAAGUAUAAAUCUUUAAACAUUUAAUAAAUGAUAAAAAUGAUAUUUCAAAGCAGUGGGGAAAUAUGUUUCAUUGAGUAAAUUCUUCUGGGUCCACUGAACUUUUUACCUAAAAAAAAUGCUUGGCUUUUAAAUUAUAAUAUACAAAAAAUUUUAUAAUGAAUAAAAUAUUUAAAUUUAAAAUAUAAAAAUGAAAAGUAUUAGAAAAAACAUGAGAAAUCACCCCCAAAAAAUGCCAAUUAUGGAAGACAUCAUACAAAGAUAUACUUGACUACAUAAAAUUUAAAAGCCUUUGAACAACUAAAUAUUGUAAUAGAAGUUAUACAAAAGAAAAACUGAAGGAAAAGAACUAAAAUAUAUUUCUAUAGGAAUUCAAAAAAAACCUUCAACAUUGGUGAAAUACAAACCUGUCAUGUUAUGUUAAGUAAGAUAAUAGUAAGGUUAAGGCCAGUCUCUAUUAGUAUGCCCUAAUUUGUGCUGGAAAUAAAGAGGAUAUACAUAUACACACACAGAUAUAUAUACAUAUAUAUGUAUAUAUGGAAACAAUAUGUCUGAGACUUCACCGAGUAAAGGUAGAUGGCUGCUAUCUCUGAAGAGUAAGAUAAUGGGUAUGAGAAGAGAAAGAAUCUCUCUUUUCAUUGUGUAUUCUGUUAAAAUACAAGGCCCUGAGUAUGUUUAUAUGUUAAAACAAAAACAAAACAAAUUACAGAAAAUCCCCAAGUUGGAAUGGAAUCCCAAACAAACAGGGGGAUAUGUCUAUUCAAAGAUACAGAAAUUAAAUGACUAUGUUGGUGAUUAUGCGGUAAAACCCACAUAAUCACAUAUCUUUGUUGAAAAUUUAUACUGAACACAACAGGUAUGAACAAAGAGUUAGCACCAGUAGCUAUAAAGCAUUUAAAAGACAAGCCCUCCUCUGGUAAAUGAGAGAGUAAAUUAAAUCUGUUCAACAGUUAUAUUUAUCUAUAUAUUCAAAUAUGUGUACACAUUACUAAAUAAUUAUCACAGCAUUGAUUAUGAUUUUAUAAAAAGAAAAGAAACAAGAAUCCAUGAAUAAAAGGACUAGUUAAAUUUACACAAUCUACUAAUUAAAAAGAAUGAGAUCUUCCCAUAUUUUGUGAAAUAUAAAACUGUCAAGAUGUAUUAAGUUAAAUAACAGUAAGAUAUAGGCCAGUCUCUAUUAGUAUGCCCUAAUUGGCAUUGGAAAGAAAAGAGGAAGUAUUUAUCUGUACAUGCAUAGGACAUGUCUGAGAAUAUGCCCAAGAAACUGUAGCUGGCCGUUGUCUCUGGAGACAGGAUUACAGGUAAGACACAGCUUGAGUCUCUCUUAUGACAUACUCUUUGGUAUUAUUCUUUGACCACGUGUAAGCUAUAAAAAUAAUUUUUAAAACAACCACCACAUAAUAUUUAAAUACUAACAUAUCACUUUAAAUUUUAGGAAGCAUGAUGCAGCAAUAGCUAGUGUUUAUUGAGGUUUGCUAUGAUUGACACUGUCUAAUGUUUAAGAUACAUUAAUUUAUUUAUUGCAAAAAUAGUUUUAAAACUGGUUUCUUGUAGCCAGUAGUUAGAUAUUUCACAGUUGGAAAAACAAAGCAAGUACGUUAAAGUUAGAUCAUUGAUCAAAGUCAAAUGGCUAGUAACUGGCAAAUGAAGAUUUCUAGUCCACGUAGUAAACUCCAACAUUAAAGUUUUUAGCUACUAAGGUAAUCACCUAGCAAAAUCCUGGCAUAUGUUAGACUGUCAGUAGACGUUUGUUUGUUUGUUUGUUCUGUCUUUGUUUCAUGAUUGAAUUGAUUCAUGGAUCAAUGUCAAUCUAGAAAGGGAAAUCUAUCAGCAAACCACAGUACUGUCCAAUUUAACACAUAUUAACUCUUGGAUAAGAACACAGAGGGCAACCAGGUAAUUUUACUGGAAGAUAUUAAAGGCACAAAGUUAAGUUUAUUGAAAUGAUAAAAGAAAAAAAACCAUGAAAUACUGCUGAGAUAGUCAUGGGCAAUGUCAUGAAUGAAAGUAAAUGUAAAAUUGUGGUAAGAAACCAUAGGGUAAAUUCGAAUAGAUAUGUCUCUACCCAAGGUCACUAAAUCAGUUUUCAAUUUUAUUUACAUACCUUUGGCAGAAAGAUUAAGUGAAAUUCGGACAUGGAAUUUAAAUAAUCUCAUUAAU
This 3813-nucleotide long non-coding RNA is filed under the name Sus scrofa (pig). RNAcentral describes it as "lncRNA (ENSSSCG00000049389.1)". Lineage: Eukaryota; Metazoa; Chordata; Mammalia; Artiodactyla; Suidae. The record is from RNAcentral.